AGUGAACGCUGGCGGUAGGCCUAACACAUGCAAGUCGAACGGCAGCACAGUAAGAGCCUGCUCUUACGGGUGGCGAGUGGCGGACGGGUGAGGAAUACAUCGGAAUCUACUUUUUCGUGGGGGAUAACGUAGGGAAACUUACGCUAAUACCGCAUACGACCUACGGGUGAAAGCAGGGGAUCUUCGGACCUUGCGCGAUUGAAUGAGCCGAUGUCGGAUUAGCUAGUUGGCGGGGUAAAGGCCCACCAAGGCGACGAUCCGUAGCUGGUCUGAGAGGAUGAUCAGCCACACUGGAACUGAGACACGGUCCAGACUCCUACGGGAGGCAGCAGUGGGGAAUAUUGGACAAUGGGCGCAAGCCUGAUCCAGCCAUACCGCGUGGGUGAAGAAGGCCUGCGGGUUGUAAAGCCCUUUUGUUGGGAAAGAAAAGCAGCAGGUUAAUACCCCGCUGUUCUGACGGUACCCAAAGAAUAAGCACCGGCUAACUUCGU
Molecule: ribosomal RNA, 491 nt
Filed under: uncultured bacterium
Lineage: Bacteria
Description: partial 16S ribosomal RNA
Rfam family: Bacterial small subunit ribosomal RNA
Source: RNAcentral